CCCCAGCGCCACAAGUGGUGAUCGGUUUUAUUGGGCCUAAAGCAUCCGUAGCUGGCCAAAAAAGUCUCUUGUGAAAUCGGGACGCUUAACGUACCGGACUGCAGGAGAUACUAUUUGGCUUGGAACUGGGAGGAGCAAGAGGAAUUUUGGGGGAAGCGGUAAAAUGCUAUAAUCCCCAAAAGACCACCGAUGGCGAAGGCAUCUUGCUAGAACAGAUUCGACAGUCAGGGAUGAAAGCUAGGGGA
Molecule: ribosomal RNA, 245 nt
Filed under: uncultured archaeon
Lineage: Archaea
Description: partial 16S ribosomal RNA
Rfam family: Archaeal small subunit ribosomal RNA
Source: RNAcentral